RNAcentral lists this long non-coding RNA (1099 nucleotides) under Phaseolus vulgaris (common bean). RNAcentral's name for it is "long non-coding RNA (PVUL_LNC000506)". Lineage: Eukaryota; Viridiplantae; Streptophyta; Magnoliopsida; Fabales; Fabaceae. The record is from RNAcentral.
AUAUCCCCAGGAGUUUCCGUUGUCCUUCAUAUGAAACAUGGCCUGAAGGUGACAUUGACAAAAAGAAGCAUCUGAGAUAAAGUAAUCUUAGUUUAUAAUAACUGAUUGUGUUCACCUUCUAUAUGUAAGGUUUGUAGUAAUGUUGAAAUUUAAUAAUUUGUAUUGUGUUCCCACCACAACAGCGCACUACUAUUGCGGUGAAACACAAGUUUACAUAACUCUUCAUAAUGUUUGAGACUCAUGCUGUCCUUCCCAAACCGAAAGACUCCCCACAGUUUUUCCCUCCUAUUAUUUCGUACUGUUCUUCUAAGUAACCGACUAACCAAUCGAAAAUUUCUUCAAAUUAUAGAAGUAAAAGGAUUAAAAGCCAACAACAAUGCCUUCCAUGCUAAACACCGGUUAUUCAAUUGUUUAUCUGAAAUGACAUACGAAGAUGACUCAACCAAAAGACCAUAUUAUAAUAAGCAAUACAAUUUCUCCCAUGUAUACAGUCCCUCCCUUCCCCAACUCAACAAUCUUACCGAUAUUUUGCCUCUGCCGCCACCUGCAUUAUUCCCUCCUGCAGCCUGAACAGCUUUCUUCGCCGCCUUCUCCUGCAAUGCUUUUGCAUCCCUGCACGCGAAGUAAACAUAAUGUCAGAUUGCAUCAUCCCUCGAUAUUACAACCAUUUUGCAGCCACAAUUGGUCGCAGCAUUCGGUGAUAAUUUUACCAACUUUCGUAAUUACUGUGGGUGCAUGAAUAUUUGCAAAUUCGUCAUUUUCUAGAACACGAUUCCUACAACAACAAAAAAAUCGUUUUUCAUGUAAAUUUAAACACGCAAAUUUCCAAUAGCAUAAACAGAGAAAGCGAACAAAAGCAACCUUUCCUGCGCUGUUGAGGAGUGAAACCAUCAUUCUUAAGGUGCUUGGAUUUUCCAGCAGCUCUUGCCUGAGCCCUUUCACGGUCUCGGUCCCUCUGGUUACCGCGUUCGCUUUAGUUAAGUCCAAACAACUGUAUUCAGUGAACAAAAAACUACUAACUUCCAUGACAAUUCAUUAAAAAGAAACGAAAACACAAAAAAACAAGACGACGGUCCAUAUGAAAGGAUAUGAGUCAUGC